RNAcentral lists this ribosomal RNA (763 nucleotides) under uncultured Armatimonadota bacterium. Its description in RNAcentral is "bacterial SSU rRNA". It matches the Rfam family "Bacterial small subunit ribosomal RNA", at positions 202 to 982 of the family's 1533-position model. The record is from RNAcentral. Lineage: Bacteria; Bacillati; Armatimonadota.
AAAUGGUUUUUCGCAUAAGGAGCGGUUUAUGGCCUAUCAGGUAGUUGGUGAGGUAAUGGCCUACCAAGGCGACGACGGGUAGCGGGUCUGAGAGGACGAUCCGCUCGAGUGGGACUGAGACACGGCCCACACACCUACGGGUGGCAGCAGUUGGGAAUCUUGCACAAUGGGGGAAACCCUGAUGCAGCGACGCCGCGUGGAGGAUGAAGGAUCUAGGUCUGUAAACUCCUUUUGCCGGGAAAGACUUAGGACGGUACCCUGAGAAUAAGCACCGGCUAACUACGUGCCAGCAGCCGCGGUAAGACGUAGGGUGCAAGCGUUGUCCGGAUUUACUGGGCGUAAAGAGCGCGUAGGCGGUCUGUUAAGUGUGAGGUGAAAUCUCCAGAGCUCAACCCGGAAACUGCUUCUCAUACCGGCAGACUAGAGGAGUGCAGAGGUUAGUGGAAUUCCUGGUGUAGCGGUGACAUGCAUAGAUAUCAGGAGGAACACCCAUGGCGAAGGCAGCUUACUGGGCAUUAUCUGACGCUGAGGCGCGAAAGCGUGGGGAGCAAACAGGAUUAGAUACUCUGGUAGUCCACGCCCUAAACGAUGGAUACUAGGCGUAAGAGGUAUCGACCCCUCUUGUGCCGCAGCUAACGCACUAAGUAUCCCGCCUGGGGAGUACGGCCGCAAGGUUGAAACUCAAAUGAAUUGACGGGACCCCGCACAAGCGGUGGAGCAUGUGGAUUAAUUCGAUACUAACCGAAGAACCUUACCCAGUUUG